Molecule: ribosomal RNA, 449 nt
Filed under: uncultured bacterium
Lineage: Bacteria
Description: bacterial SSU rRNA
Rfam family: Bacterial small subunit ribosomal RNA
Source: RNAcentral
ACCAGACUCCUACGGGAGGCAGCAGUGGGGGAUAUUGCACAAUGGGGGAAACCCUGAUGCAGCGACGCCGCGUGGGCGAAGAAGUAUUUCGGUAUGUAAAGCCCUAUCAGCAGGGAAGAAGAAAUGACGGUACCUGAGUAAGAAGCACCGGCUAAAUACGUGCCAGCAGCCGCGGUAAUACGUAUGGUGCAAGCGUUAUCCGGAUUUACUGGGUGUAAAGGGGGCGUAGACGGUUAUGCAAGUCUGAAGUGAAAGCCCAAGGCUCAACCAUGGGACUGCUUUGGAAACUGUAAAACUGGAGUGCAGGAGAGGUAAGCGGAAUUCCUAGUGUAGCGGUGAAAUGCGUAGAUAUUAGGAGGAACACCAGUGGCGAAGGCGGCUUACUGGACUGUAACUGACGUUGAGGCUCGAAGGCGUGGGGAGCAAACAGGAUUAGAUACCCUGGUAAA